This is a non-coding RNA of Phalacrocorax carbo (great cormorant), 1720 nucleotides long. Lineage: Eukaryota; Metazoa; Chordata; Aves; Suliformes; Phalacrocoracidae. The record is from RefSeq and is a predicted model, not a curated record.
CACGUGGUGGGACUGCCGAGCCAGCUCAGAGCUGACAGACUAUGCUGCACGUAGGGAGCCCUGGCAGGAAGGAAGGGAAUAAAGGCGCUUUCUGGGAAAUCAGAUCUUUCAUGUGCACGCUGCCCUUGACCAUCUCCACAUGAUUGUUCCUGAUCUGUCCAGCAUCAAGGAUGCUCUUUCCACGUGGCAACAUCCCCUGGACCUGCUGCCCCCCUGCAAGGCACACACUGCGCUCUGGAACCCCCCAACGGCUGGCUGCAUCUGAACAGCAUCGCCAGCUCACAGGAGCCUCUGGAAGAAGCAACCCAGCAAACCCACAGGAGGUCUUACUCCGCUGCUGCUUUGAGCCCCAUCUUCCCCAUGCCAUCAUCCAGCCACCGUGAUCUCCGCUUGCUCCAAAUCGCCCUUCGCAGACUGUUUCCUUCCACAGAGCCUAACAUUAAGCAAGAGGCUGUUGGCAAGGGCUGGGGACACCCCACUUCUUUGCUGUUAGGUGGGGUGGAGGUAACACAGUUAGUGAUUUCCAGCCCUUGGUAAAUGAGCAUUUGCCACACGCAACAAGAUUACUGUGAGUGACUUCAUUUGCUUUGGAAACGGCUGAGUCAUUUGUAAUUACCGACACGCACCAGCAGCAAUCCCAGCGCUGGCGCUGGAUUAAUGGGAGCCCCGUGGCUGGAGGGCAGUCUCCAGGAGCUUCCCUGGGGCUUUGGCACGGACACGGAGCCCCACAGUGACUGUUCCCCGCCACCCACAGCUAGGCACGCCUGUGCUGCCACACCAAAGCAAUGUGCCUGAGGCAAAUCCUCCCAUCCUGUCCCCUCCAGCCAGCCACGAGGUCCCCAUCAGUGUCACCAUCGCAUGCCCAUGCGCUGGUCCAGGCGGGGAGCCCAAGGGGGGCUGGAGGGUCCCAGGCCAGCCAGGAUCUGCAGUGCAGUGGGUUUGACCUCGUUUAUAUUCCACUUGCUGCUGCAAAAAAGAGCAAUGGCCCUAAGACCAGCAGGGCUGGGCAGGUCACCCAGCGCAGGCAGGCGGUCAAGCCACCAUGGUCUGUCCCAGCCCACCCUCAGUGGAGGAAGGACAAGACCAGCUCAGGAAGGCGCAGGUUGCUGGGCAUCGCCUAAGGGGUCCCCGGUGCUCCCCAUCGCACCCCCCAUCACAUGGGGUGCUUGCUGGGGAAGGGAAGAGCCAUGUCCCUCCUCCAGCAAAGCAAUGCUUUGCAAACCUCAUCUGGCCUUUCCCACCACAGGGACCAGACCCGGCCGCCUUUGAAGCUGGGCUGCUCCCCUCCAGCGACCAGCUGGGGACGGGACACUCGGGUCAAUUUGCCACCAGAUGGCACCAAAUAAACCAUUGCGGGGACACACGGGGUGGCCCAGGGCCACUGCCACGCCUGAACCAGACCCUGGCUCCCAUCACCCCGUUCCUCUGCUCCCCACCUCGGCCGGCAGCAGCCGGAGCUGCCCGUGCUGCCCAUGGGACGAUGCAGCCGGCUCGGGCAUUUGCAUCGGGUAUUGUUUUAUGUGGUUUUAGCAGCAUUUGAUAAGGCACCCUCCUGCUGCGUGUUUAUACCCUGUCAGAAAAUUAAAGUAUUAAGUUUGGGCGUUUGCAUUUCAGUGGAAACUAUUAAACGGUAAUGAGUCUGGCCAGGUCUCGGCAGCCUUUUGUGUCAACAUAACUGUGGGCUCAGCCUUAGCUGGUCAGCGCCUCCGAGAGCAGCGUU